This 1454-nucleotide long non-coding RNA is filed under the name Homo sapiens (human). RNAcentral describes it as "HSALNT0068146". Lineage: Eukaryota; Metazoa; Chordata; Mammalia; Primates; Hominidae. The record is from RNAcentral.
UUUAGUAGAGAUGGGGUUUCACCGUAUCGCCCAGGCUGUUCUCGAACUCCUGAACUCAGGAAAUCUGCCCACCUCGGCCUCCCAAAGUGCUAGGAUUAAAGGCGUGAGCCACCACGCCCGGCCAUAAAUUCUGUUAUUUAAGUGUUUUAGCAGGAUAGCCUUAUCCUGAUCUCACAGGUCAUAAAAUGUAGGUCCUCGGAGAUUGUGUCUUACCCUAAGGUAGAGACAGUAAGUUAACCAAACUCUCUAGUUGACAGUGUAUAGGGGUUAAAUGUGCCCCACAUGGUCUCCACUCCAAAAUGAUUCUGUUCAUAUCAGAAUAGAAUCUUUUCUUUCUUAUCUUUUCUCUGGGACUCAGUUUUUCCAUCUAUAAACAGGGUAUAGUAGCCAGGCAAUAAACAUGAUAAAUAAGUAAAUCACACAGUCUGUUAGAAGGCGACAAGUGCUAUGGGUAGGGAACUGGGAGUCCAGGGGGUGGGGAGGUGAGUCACAUCAUUAAGUAGGAAGAGCAAAGGAAAGCUCCCAGAGAAGGGGACAGCUAAGGAAGGACUCACAGACAAACAGGUGGUGAGAGCACUAGGCCAGGUGGCCAUAUAUCCAGAAAGGCACUCCAGGCAGAGAGAAAGCUAGAGCCAAAACUCCAGGUAAGAACUGGCUUUUGUUUGGGAAUGGGAGAGGGGAAUAAGGCUGUCUGUUUAUCAUCUCCUUUCUUUAAGCAUUGAGACAGUUCAGUUACAUUUUGGUUAAUAAGCAAAGAUAAAAAGAGGCUAAGAAAAGAGCAUCCUGUUUAAUUUUAAAUAGAAAACUAAUGUCAGGGGUAGGAUUUGAAUCUACAGCUCCUAAAACCCUGGUUUGAACCUCUGAGACCCAUUCAGUGAAGCUAGUUUCAAUUCCUUCUGAGCGCAUUCACUUUACCAGCUCUCAGCAGCAUCUGGCACAGCUGCUCCCACUUUCAGGAGUCACUGUCCUCUUCCAGUUUUCAGACAUCAGUUUCUGGUUUUCCUCCAACCUCUCCAGCUACUGCUGUGAGUCUCCCUUGCUGUUCUACCUCUUCUAUCCAACUUCUACCUGCUGGGCUGCCCCAGUACCCUGAGCUGCUUGUCUUCCCUAGCUAUACCAUUGCCUUAAGCCAGGGGUGUCCAAUCUUUUGGCUUCCCUGGGCCACACUGGAAGAAGAAUUGUCUCGGGCCACACAUAAAAUACACUAACACUAAUGAUAGUUGAUGAACUUAAAUCUCAUAAUGUUUUAAGAAAGUUUACGAAUUUGUGUUAGGCUGCAUUCAAAGCUGUCCUGGGCCACAUGUGGGCAACAGGUUGGACAAGUUUGCCUUAAAGGAUCACACUGAUCCAGGCCCAUCCUUGGCUCUAAAUACCACCUCCACCAGUGGUUCUCAGCCCUCGUCAUACAUUAGAGCCACCUAGAUAGAUUUAAAACAAACCAUGGCUAGACCCAA